CGCGUUCCUUCUAUCUGCGCGCACGUACACGCCACCGUAUCAUAGUCGGUGCUUUCGUAGAGAUGCUAUUAAUCUCUAUACAUUGCUAUCUUUCGGCUGUUUGUGUAUUUUCAUACAUGCGAGUUUCUCCUCUAUUGCUUCGCCGCGCCGUGAUUGUCUAUUUAGGUACACGAACAUUUAUCUCUCGUUACGUUUCUGUGUGUGAACAGGUUCCAUGCGAUUGUAUAUAUAUGAAUAUGCCGCGUGACGUGGUCACGCUUGUGCUGCACGAUGAACACACGUGUCUUUUGCGUACGCACGCGUCUCAGGUCCCUUGCGAUUGUGUCCGUCCAGAUGCAUUUCCGUUUACCUGUUGUUAAGGACACACACCGGUGUCUGGUUUCCAUCUGUGUAACAGUUCACGUCUACAAGUAGAAACAUUACGUUCCAUUCGUGAAGCGAU
Molecule: long non-coding RNA, 442 nt
Organism: Bombus huntii
Lineage: Eukaryota; Metazoa; Arthropoda; Insecta; Hymenoptera; Apidae
Exons: 2
Source: RefSeq, a predicted model, not a curated record